Molecule: long non-coding RNA, 163 nt
Organism: Sabethes cyaneus
Lineage: Eukaryota; Metazoa; Arthropoda; Insecta; Diptera; Culicidae
Exons: 3
Source: RefSeq, a predicted model, not a curated record
GCUAAUUAUUAUAUACUUAUCGUCAUCUAAACCUAAAUUGAUUAUUAUAUGCUAGUUCCUAGUGCUACUUACAUACAAAGUACUUAAACCUACAGUACGGAUAUAGUACGGACUUGAGGAAGGUAGAAGAAGACUAAACGGAUUUUAUAACGCGCUUCACAUC